Molecule: ribosomal RNA, 499 nt
Filed under: uncultured Glomeromycotina
Lineage: Eukaryota; Fungi; Glomeromycota
Description: partial small subunit ribosomal RNA
Rfam family: Eukaryotic small subunit ribosomal RNA
Source: RNAcentral
CCAAUAGCGUAUAUUAAAGUUGCUGCAGUUAAAAAGCUCGUAGUUGAAUUUCGGGACCAAUAUGUCGGUCGUGCCUCGGUACGUACUGGCAUCGUUGGUUUCUCCCUUCUGACGAACCAUGAUGUCAUUUAUUUGGUGUCGUGGGGAAUCAGGACUGUUACUUUGAAAAAAUUAGAGUGUUUAAAGCAGGCUCACGCUUGAAUACAUUAGCAUGGAAUAAUGAAAUAGGAGGUUUGAUUCUAUUUUGUUGGUUUCUAGGAUCGACGUAAUGAUUAAUAGGGUUAGUUGGGGGCAUUAGUAUUCAAUUGUCAGAGGUGAAAUUCUUGGAUUUAUUGAAGACUAACUACUGCGAAAGCAUUUGCCAAGGAUGUUUUCAUUAAUCAAGAACGAAAGUUAGGGGAUCGAAGACGAUCAGAUACCGUCGUAGUCUUAACCAUAGACUAUGCCGACUAGGGAUCGGAUGAUGUUAAUUUUUUAAUGACUCAUUCGGCGCCUUACG